This 373-nucleotide ribosomal RNA is filed under the name uncultured Bacteroidota bacterium. RNAcentral's name for it is "bacterial SSU rRNA". It matches the Rfam family "Bacterial small subunit ribosomal RNA", at positions 521 to 896 of the family's 1533-position model. The record is from RNAcentral. Lineage: Bacteria; Pseudomonadati; Bacteroidota.
UAAUACGGAGGGUGCAAGCGUUAUCCGGAUUUAUUGGGUUUAAAGGGUCCGCAGGCGGAACUUUAAGUCAGUGGUGAAAGCCUACAGCUUAACUGUAGAACUGCCAUUGAUACUGAAAUUCUUGAGUGUGGUUGAAGUGGGCGGAAUAUGUCAUGUAGCGGUGAAAUGCAUAGAUAUGACAUGGAACACCAAUUGCGAAAGCAGCUCACUAAACCAUUACUGACGCUCAUGGACGAAAGUGUGGGUAGCGAACAGGAUUAGAUACCCUGGUAGUCCACGCCGUAAACGAUGGACACUCGUUGUUGGGAUUUAUUUCUCAGUGACUAAGCGAAAGUGAUAAGUGUCCCACCUGGGGAGUACGGUCGCAAGAUUG